Molecule: ribosomal RNA, 468 nt
Filed under: uncultured bacterium
Lineage: Bacteria
Description: partial 16S ribosomal RNA
Rfam family: Bacterial small subunit ribosomal RNA
Source: RNAcentral
GACGAACGCUGGCGGCGUGCUUAACACAUGCAAGUCGAACGGAAAGGCCCUGCUUUUGUGGGGUGCUCGAGUGGCGAACGGGUGAGUAACACGUGAGUAACCUGCCCUUGACUUUGGGAUAACUUCAUGAAACUGGGGCUAAUACCGGAUAGGAGCUCCUGCUGCAUGGUGGGGGUUGGAAAGUUUCGGCGGUUGGGGAUGGACUCGCGGCUUAUCAGCUUGUUGGUGGGGUAGUGGCUUACCAAGGCUUUGACGGGUAGCCGGCCUGAGAGGGUGACCGGCCACAUUGGGACUGAGAUAUGGCCCAGCCUCCUACGGGAGGCAGCAGUGGGGAAUAUUGCACAAUGGGCGGAAGCCUGAUGCAGCAACGCCGCGUGCGGGAUGACGGCCUUCGGGUUGUAAACCGCUUUCGCCUGUGACGAAGCGUGAGUGACGGUAAUGGGUAAAGAAGCACCGGCUAACUACGUG